GUGCCUUGAAUUGACUCCUAUAGCACACAGGAAGCCAAUGGAAGGACUGGCAGAGGGGUGAGGUGUGAGAGAACCGGCUAGAGAGGAAAAUCAGUCUAGCAGCAGCGUUCAUUACAGACUGUAGGGGUGCAGUACGGCUUUUGGGAAGACCAAGCAGGAGAGGGUUACAAUAAUCCAUGCGGGAAAUUACUAGAGCAUGGACAAGCUCCUUGGUGGUAUCUGGUGCAAGAAAGGGGCGGAUGUGGGCUAUGUUUUUAAGAUGGAAUCUACAGGAUUUGGCAACAUGCUGGAUGUGAGGCUCAAAGGUGAGACCAGA
RNAcentral lists this long non-coding RNA (316 nucleotides) under Pelobates cultripes (western spadefoot toad). Lineage: Eukaryota; Metazoa; Chordata; Amphibia; Anura; Pelobatidae. The record is from RNAcentral.